UGACGAGCCAGCCAUAAGGCUUAACACUGAAACCAAAAUUAUAUAGAAAUGUGAAGAAUGGGACCUCUAGUUGAAUGAAGAUUCCUGUAUGUUCAAAUGGAGACCAUCACAGAAAACCACAACUGGACACAAUGCUAGAUCAACAGAUUGUGGUGAGCCCCAAUGGAUACAUCUAUGUCACAGCUCCUGCUUCUGUGAUUCAGGGAGCAUCAUGGAAGAGAGGAUAAAAAUAUUGUAAGAAGCAGAAUAUCAGGAAAUCAGCUAUGAAGUAUUCUCUCCUAGAAAUGGCUCCAUAAAUAAGACUAGAACAAUGGCAGUGUCAAUAGACACGGGAGGGGGAAAGUUCACAGGAUCUCACCCCUAGACAAAGAACUACAGGUAACUAGU
RNAcentral lists this long non-coding RNA (387 nucleotides) under Cricetulus griseus (Chinese hamster). RNAcentral describes it as "lncRNA (ENSCGRG00015041414.1)". The record is from RNAcentral. Lineage: Eukaryota; Metazoa; Chordata; Mammalia; Rodentia; Cricetidae.